CAUUCAUCUCUUGAUGGACACUUGGGUUGCAUCCAUAUCUUGGCUAUUGUAAAUUAUGCUGUUAUGAACAUCAGGGGAACAUUUUUAUCUGACAUAAUUCUCACAAUUAAAUGAAAUAGGCACUACUAUUUCACACAUUUCAUUAGUUGAGGAAACUGAGACUUUCUGAGUUGAGUAACUCACCCAAGGUCAUUUAACUAAUGAAUGAUAGACUCAGAAUCUUAGGUUUGUCUGGAUCUGGAGCCUGUGUGGUUUUUUAAACCCCUGUGUUUGGGAUUAUAUGUACACUGAGGUAUGUGAAAUGACUGGCAGUGGGGACCUGCCAUAUAGCACAGGGAACUCCACUCUGUGAUCUUCUGUGUGGAAAGAAAAUCUGAAAAAGAAUGGAUGUGUGUAUGCAUAUAACUCGGUCACUUUGCUGUGCUGCAUAAAUUAACACAACAUUGUACAUCAGCCAGACUUCGAUGAAACUUUUAAAAAUGAAGAAGAAAGAAGGUUUAAAAAAACCUAACCCAACCAGUAUGCUUUAUAGCAAAUAGACAUCAUGAGAAAAACUAAGAGAUGGAAUUAACUAGAAGCCUGGAUAAGAGUAGCAAUCUCCACUUUUUAGCUGAAGUAACGAGAGGAUCGGCGAAGGGAAGUAGUUUCUGGUUUUGUGACUUUAAUGCGUGUUGACAAAUAGGCUUCAGUGGGGGCUGUCUUAAAUUGGAAGAAAUUCAGAUGAGUGCCGGCAACAGUUUCAUAUAGUGCUCAGACGUUGCUCCCAGCUUUUGAUUUCAAAGUUUUUAUUUAACUUGUACUUCCGUGUCUCGAGUUUGGUACUACACCGCCUGAUGAACUAUUCCUGUCUUUGUGAUUUUUUUCUAAUGGCCACACCCAUGGCAUAUGGAAGUUCCCGGGGCUGGCGUUCAAAUCUGAGUAGCAGCUGCAACCUACGCCACAGCUGCAGCAGUGAUGGCUCUUUAACCCACUGCACUGGGCUGGGAUUGAACCUGUGCUGCCCAGAGACAACACCGAAUACUAACCUGCAACACCACAAGCAGAAACUCCUAUCUUUGUGAUUUUCAAAUGUCAAUUUAACUUGAUGAAUGGAGGUUUUCUUUGUCUGUGAUAUAGAAAUAUUGGUAGUUUACCUGUUCUACAGUCCACUUAACAGCCUUAUUUUCUGCUCAUGGAAAUUCACACUCUGUUUUCUGUUUCUGUUUCUGUUUUCUGUUUCUGUUUCUGUUUCUGAGUCUGUUUCUGUUUCUGUACAGGAACAAUAAAGAAGUGAGGAGCUCCUCCCUAAAAUCAUGAUGAUUGUACACACUGGAUUUUUCUUCCCUUACCCAACCACUCCUCAGUGCGGCUCAGUACCUAAGGAAUAUGCUGGUGAAAUAACCACCCCUGUCAUAGAGGCUCCAGCUAUAAACCACAGAAAACAGAAAAUCUUUAAAAAUUAUUUAAAUGAGGGACCUCUAAGUUCAUGACCCACUCUGCAAGAUAGCAGGACAAAAUUUAAAGCAAUGGUAAAUGGCAAAUGAUUUAGAAAAGCAUUUUGUUUUAUCUGGAAUCCUGCUUUGAGUCCCCUUCAAAUUGAAGUUCCACCACAAGCUUUUUUUUUUUUUUGGUCUUUUUGCCAUUUCUUGGGCUGCUCCCGCGGCAUAUGGAGGUUCGCAGGCUAGGGGUCUAAUGGGAGCUGUAUCCACCGGCCUACGCCAGAGCCACAGCAACACGGGAUCCGAGCCGCGUCUGCAACCUACACCACAAGCAGCUCACGGCAACGCUGGAUCGUUAACCCACUGAGCAAGGGCAGGGACCGAACCUGCAACCUCAUGGUUCCUAGUCGGAUUCGUUAACCACUGCACCACGAAGGGAACUCCACCAUAAGCUUUGUGAGGCAGAUUUGUAGGGGUAUUUUGGUAAACAUUAUCAUCAGUUAUUUUUGUUGGAUGAUUUUGGAUAUCAGCAACACUGUCAAAUGUGACCAUCCCAACCAAGGAUCCCUUUUCAAUAAUUUGAAUCAGGUAGAAUUCUGCUGCUUGAUUCACUCAAAAGAGAUGGUCUUCCU
RNAcentral lists this long non-coding RNA (2050 nucleotides) under Sus scrofa (pig). Its description in RNAcentral is "lncRNA (ENSSSCG00000061172.1)". Lineage: Eukaryota; Metazoa; Chordata; Mammalia; Artiodactyla; Suidae. The record is from RNAcentral.